RNAcentral lists this long non-coding RNA (2801 nucleotides) under Trifolium pratense (red clover). RNAcentral's name for it is "long non-coding RNA (TPRA_LNC008001)". The record is from RNAcentral. Lineage: Eukaryota; Viridiplantae; Streptophyta; Magnoliopsida; Fabales; Fabaceae.
UCUAUCCCAAGUACAACAAUUGCUAACUCUAUCAUCAACCCAUGAACCCAAUUUAUUGUAAGGAUCUGCUCCAUUAUGUGACAAGAAGUAGUGUUUGAUAUCUAGAAGGCCUAUUCUCUCACUCUCUAAACAUCCGUUACAUGAUCCUUCUUCAUUUUGCAUUAACAUUAUUAUCAUCACAAAAUAAAAAAAGGAGCUAAUUAUCAAUCCCAACUUCAUUUUUGACAAAUCUAUGGAUAUAUAUUGUGUUACUUUAUGCAGUUUUAUGAUAUAUUCCUAUAAUCACCUUAUGAUAUAUAGUACUAAAAGAUGAGACUUUUCUAUUGCAAGAUGAUACUUCAUAGAAACACGCACAGGAAAGACUUGGAGUUGACUAGAGAUAAUGACAUUUAGUAGUUUAGUUGUUGCUUUCAUUUUUGUAACCAAAUGGCCGGGAUUCUUAACAUGUUAGUGGUUUGGAGUGGAAAAGAGGUCAUGACUCCAUCUUAUCCCUUUAAAUUAAACUCUUUAACCAAAAAAUCAAUGUUUAUUUUCAGAUUUUAAUUAGUCAAGAGAUAUUUUUAACUCAAAAAUUCAAAUUAGAAUAUAUGUACACAAUGACUAUACCUAAACUAUUGCGUAAAACUAUAACUAAUUUGAAAGUUUAAAUCACAAGUCACUCGAUUUAGGGUCUGUCUGUUUUAGAUUUAAAAAAAUAGAUUUUUUUCUUUGUAUUUUUGAAAAUAGAUUUUUUAAAACCGUUUUUCAAAAUAUUACAAGUUUUUUUACAUUCAUUUUUUCUAAAUUUAAACACUAAUUUUGACAUCAUAUAACAUAUACACACAUUAUUGAAGAUCAAAACAUGGUCAAAAUCACAAUUUUUUCAAAAAGUUGUAUUUCAAAAAUGAUUUUUAUGAAAAUCUAUUUGAAAUAUCUUCAAAAUUAAGAGAUUUUUUGAAAUUUUGAUUUCCAAAAAAUGCUUCAAUGAAAUGAUCAGAUAUCUAAAAUAACAUUUUAAGAAUAACAAUUCAAACAAAAUUUUCAUUCGAAGCUUUUAUAAAAAGUUUCUUUGUAAAAAAAAUUUACACGAAAUUAUUUAACACUAUAAGAAUCUAUUUUAAAAAAUGGUGUUGGUUAUACACACCCAGCCACUUUUGUAAAAGUGUGCAUUAACAUGAUACACCUUUUUAAUUGGACAUUAAAUGCCCUUGCUUUUAUUUUAAAAUAAAUGAAGACCAAAGGACAUGAUUGUAAUUGCAUUUAAGUUUGCAAUUAAAAAUUGGUUUCUGUUAAUUAAAUUCAUUUAUCCUCUUCUCACUACUUCUAUGUCAUGAUUACGUAUCAACCGUCUAAAGUUUUUAGAGCAGUUAAUCCAUUCAAACUUAACAAUAUGUUUGUAUUAUUUAGACGGUUGUCUGAAAGGUCUAAAGUCUCCAACUUUUGUAGUCUAGGAAAACCUUCAAAAGAAGCGGAUCGUAAGAUAUGACAAUCGGAAACUUUUUUCCCAAAAAAAAAAUUCGAAUGUUUUUUCCAAUUUCUUUCCUCCUUAAUAAAUAAGUUUCAUUUGCCUAAAAAAAAUAAAUAAAUUAUAUGAAACUGAACAUACCUUGAGCGGAGAAGCUAUCAAGUGAAUUACCACCAAGGUUCAAAGUUUUUAGACCAGUUAAUCCAUUCAAACUUAACAAUAUGUUUAUAUUAUUUAGACAGUGUCUGAAAGGUCUAAAGUCUCCAACUUUUGUAGUCUAGGAAAACCUUCAAAAGAAUCGGAUCGUAAGAUAUGACAAUUGGAAACUUUUUUUCCCAAAAAAAAAUCGAAUGUUUUUUCCAAUUUCUUUCCUCCUAAUAAAUAAGUUUCAUUUGCGUCAAAAAAAUAAAUAAAUUAUAUGAAACUGAACAUACCUUGAGCGGAGAAGCUAUCGAGUGAAUUACCAUGGAGGUUCAAAGUUUUUAGAGCAGUUAAUCCAUUCAAACUUGACAAUAUGCUUCUAUUAUUUAGACUAUUGUAUGAAAGGUCUAAGGUCUCCAACUUUUGUAAUUUAGCAAAAUCUUCAAAAUAAGCGGAGUAAAUUAUCAUAAGCUUACAUUCAGAGCAUUUUUAAUAGAAUUUUGUCAUUGAAAUUUAACGGAACAAAACAAUAGGUAUGAGACCAAAGUAAAAUUACAAACAAUAAGUUAAUGAACAAUUUAGCUAAAAAAUAACUCAAUCUUAUAAUUGAGAUUUGAACAUCAACUUUUCAUGUUGUGGAAUAACUAGCGGUCUCUUUUAUAAAACUUAAACUCAUUGAUAAAUUAGUAUAAUUUUGAAAAUAUAAUUCAAAUUGUUAACAUAUUUAACGCAAACAAGUAUGAAUUUGAUAAAGAAAUCUUAUAUAUAAAGACAAAUUAAGGUAGUACCUUCCUUGCCCAUCCAGCUUUUAAUUUUGUUCCAGGACAAAUCAAGGAGGCGUAAUUCUUCAAAUGGACGAAACAGAGAAACAUUCAUCAUAUUCAUAGAAUCUGAUGAAAAGUAUAGUAACCAAUCGAGGGAUAGCUCAGUUAUGUGUCCAGAAGAGGUGUUAGAGCACAUGACUCUAUCCCAAGUACAACAAUUACUACCUCUAUCAUCAACCCAUGAACCCAAUUCAUUGUUAUAAUCUCCUCCUUCUUGUGACACUAUGAAGUCUUUGAUCUCCAAUAACCCUAUUCUCUCAUUCUCUAAACAUCCGUCACAUGAUCCUUCUUCAUUUUGCAUUAACAUUAUUAUCAUCACAAAAUAAAAAAAGGAACUAAUUAUCAAUCCCAACUUCAUUUUUGACAAGUCUAUGGAUAUAUAUUGUGUUACU